UACGAAGGGUGCUAGCGUUGUUCGGAAUUACUGGGCGUAAAGCGUGCGUAGGCGGUUAGGUAAGUCGGCUGUGAAAGCCCCGGGCUCAACCCGGGAAUUGCAGUUGAUACUGCCUGACUAGAAUCUGAUGGGGGAUGGCGGAAUUCCUAGUGUAGGGGUGAAAUCCGUAGAUAUUAGGAGGAACACCAGCGGCGAAGGCGGCCAUCUAUGUCAGUAUUGACGCUGAGGUACGAAAGCGUGGGGAGCAAACAGG
This 253-nucleotide ribosomal RNA is filed under the name uncultured bacterium. RNAcentral describes it as "partial 16S ribosomal RNA". It matches the Rfam family "Bacterial small subunit ribosomal RNA", at positions 524 to 776 of the family's 1533-position model. The record is from RNAcentral.